CUGUCAUUCUUAAUUAAUCUCUCUUCACAGGUCGACUUAACUCCAGAACCAUCUUAGUGACUGCUCUUUGUACUCUUUCCAAUUUUAUAAUAUUCCUCUUUAUAUGAAGGGAAGACACUACUGCCGCAUAUUCUAAUAUUGGUCUUAUCAUGGAAAUCGACUUUUUUUUUUUUUAUCAUUCCUCCAUCCAAAUAUGAGAAUGCCAUCCUCACUCUUUUUAACAAAUUCAUAAUCUCUCCAGUAAUUUUAAAAUCAAUGUGUCUGUCCGGAGUCAAAUUUUCAGUAACUUACUCCCAAAUCCAUUUCUGUUUUGGGUUUCUUUAACUUUACACCAUCCAUCCCAUAAUGAUAUUGUAUUCUUUUUUACUCUUACCAAACUCCAUUACUUUACAUUUACUCAAAUUGAAUAACAUGUGUGUGUGUGUGUGUGUGUGUGUGUGUGUAUUUACCUAGUUGAUCCCUUUCCCAAAUAUACCAUUUCCUCGGUCUCAUAUCUAGUGCCCUCUAAUAAAAUUUCCUUUUCUCAGUCUCUGUCUUUCUCUCUCUCUCUUUUUUUUUUUUUCUUAGCUUCAUUUCUCAGAUCACUUCUUUUUCCCUUUCUUCCAAGUUCAUAUCUCCUUUUAUCAAAAUAUUCUUGUAUUUCAAGCUUUCAGCCAGCUUCCCGGGUCUCACUAGGAUCUCUACUGCAACUUGGAAUCUCAUUCUCACUUUUAACGGUGAGAAUGAGAUCCCAAGUUGCAGUGUGUGUGUGUGUGUGUGUGUGUGUAGAAAAAAAGUAGUAAAUACCAGAUACACACAAGGCCACAGCAAAAAAACUAACAAAAGGAAGAUGCUUGAAUAACAUAAAGAAAUGUAGUUUUCCACAGAAAAAUAUAGAAGUUUAGAACAAGCUAAGUGAGGGUGUAGUAUUGGCAAUGAGUGUGCGCAAAAAAAAAAAAAAAAAUGUACAAGUGUAGAUAUAGAGAUCUGGGACCACAUGAGCGUAGCUUAGGCCCUGUAAAUUACUAUAAUAUAGGUAAAUACAAAUAGGUAAAUGCACACACACACAAACACGGCGGCGGUGGAGUUGACAGGAUGUGUUUUCUCUGCAUAUAGAAGGAAUGAACAAUACAAAUCGCUCAUGGUGGAACAAGAUGUGUUAUGAAGACACCAGAAUACCUAGGUGGUAAAUAGGGAGGGGAGAAACAUUACCAUUGAGGAGCCACACCAUCAAAAGAAGGGUUCUAUUGUGAGUGCUGAGACUUCAGUGUAACCAUCAGUGACAUCCAGUGUCCCUACAAACAUUUUAUAAUUGGAAAGUGUAUAGUGCCAGAACAAUGCUUACAGUUUAAUAAGAGAAUGGUCGAAACAGUGACCCUUCAACUUGAACAUCGCCUUGGGAAAGAGGAAGAAAUCAUAAGAAGCAAAAUCUGGUGGUGCUUCCUGGAACUCAUGAGCAGAGGUGGGUCUAGACUCUCCACACCACCUUGUUACUAUCAUCACAACCAACAGGAAGCCUAGUAAAGCACUCACCUAUGCAACCCAUGAACCAUUCACAAGAUAUGUAAAUUUAAAAGUGUGACAGUGGUACUUCAUAUAUAUAUAUAUAUAUAUAUAUAUAUAUAUAUAUAUAUAUAUAUAUAUAUAUAUAUAUAUAUAUAUAUAUAUAUAUAUAUAUAUAUAUAUUACAACAGUUUCCAAGUUACAGAUGAGGUAAACAGGGAUACACCAAACUUCCUUGUUCAUUUAUUGCAACGUUUCACUUUCACAGAAGGUAUCACCAGGCUAAAAAACUGAUAAAAAUAAGUACAAAGACAGAAUAAUCAUAAAAUAUCACACUAGGGACAAAAUUAAAAAAACAGCAACCGAAGGGGACAGAUAAGCAAGCAUUAACAAAAACCAAUGCAACAAAAUGAUCUAUUGGCAGCAUCUUAUACAUGAAAAAAAAAAAAAAAGAGCAAAAUAAGAGUAUAAAGCUACGGACAAACCUUGUGUACUUUCACGUGUCGGUCCUCACCACACCACAUGCGAAAGCACACAAAGUUUGUCUGUAGUUUUACACCUUUAUUUUGCUUGAUUUUUUCUGUCAUGUAUAAGCUGCUGCCAAUAGGUUAUUUUGUCAUUGUUUUUUUUGUUAAUGCUUGCUUGCCUAUCCCAUUUUGUUUAUUGUUUUGUUUUUAAUUCUAUCCCUAGUGUGAUAUUUUAUGAUUUUUCUGCCUUUGUACUUAUUUUUAAUUUUUUAGCCUGAUGAUGCCUUCUGUGAAAAUGAAAUGUUGCAAUAAAUGAAGAUGAAAGUUUGGUGUAUCCUGGCUUACCCCUCUCACACACACACACACACACACACACACACACACACACACACACACACACACACACAC
This is a long non-coding RNA of Scylla paramamosain (green mud crab), 2357 nucleotides long. RefSeq lists it as uncharacterized. The record is from RefSeq and is a predicted model, not a curated record. NCBI's taxonomy places the organism in Eukaryota, Metazoa, Arthropoda, Malacostraca, Decapoda, Portunidae. The transcript is spliced from 4 exons.